This is a non-coding RNA of Aedes albopictus (Asian tiger mosquito), 47 nucleotides long. The record is from Rfam. Lineage: Eukaryota; Metazoa; Arthropoda; Insecta; Diptera; Culicidae.
CAAACGGUUCUUUUCAGGACCAUCAAAAAUUAUUACUCAAGAGCUGU